GAUGAACGCUGGCGGCGUGCCUAAUACAUGCAAGUCGAGCGAACGGACGAGAAGCUUGCUUCUCUGAUGUUAGCGGCGGACGGGUGAGUAACACGUGGAUAACCUACCUAUAAGACUGGGAUAACUUCGGGAAACCGGAGCUAAUACCGGAUAAUAUUUUGAACCGCAUGGUUCAAAAGUGAAAGACGGUCUUGCUGUCACUUAUAGAUGGAUCCGCGCUGCAUUAGCUAGUUGGUAAGGUAACGGCUUACCAAGGCAACGAUGCAUAGCCGACCUGAGAGGGUGAUCGGCCACACUGGAACUGAGACACGGUCCAGACUCCUACGGGAGGCAGCAGUAGGGAAUCUUCCGCAAUGGGCGAAAGCCUGACGGAGCAACGCCGCGUGAGUGAUGAAGGUCUUCGGAUCGUAAAACUCUGUUAUUAGGGAAGAACAUAUGUGUAAGUAACUGUGCACAUCUUGACGGUACCUAAUCAGAAAGCCACGGCUAACUACGUGCCAGCAGCCGCGGUAAUACGUAGGUGGCAAGCGUUAUCCGGAAUUAUUGGGCGUAAAGCGCGCGUAGGCGGUUUUUUAGUCUGAUGUGAAAGCCCACGGCUCAACCGUGGAGGGUCAUUGGAAACUGGAAAACUUGAGUGCAGAAGAGGAAAGUGGAAUUCCAUGUGUAGCGGUGAAACGCGCAGAGAUAUGGAGGAACACCAGUGGCGAAGGCGACUUUCUGGUCUGUAACUGACGCUGAUGUGCGAAAGCGUGGGGAUCAAACAGGAUUAGAUACCCUGGUAGUCCACGCCGUAAACGAUGAGUGCUAAGUGUUAGGGGGUUUCCGCCCCUUAGUGCUGCAGCUAACGCAUUAAGCACUCCGCCUGGGGAGUACGACCGCAAGGUUGAAACUCAAAGGAAUUGACGGGGACCCGCACAAGCGGUGGAGCAUGUGGUUUAAUUCGAAGCAACGCGAAGAACCUUACCAAAUCUUGACAUCCUUUGACAACUCUAGAGAUAGAGCUUUCCCCUUCGGGGGACAAAGUGACAGGUGGUGCAUGGUUGUCGUCAGCUCGUGUCGUGAGAUGUUGGGUUAAGUCCCGCAACGAGCGCAACCCUUAAGCUUAGUUGCCAUCAUUAAGUUGGGCACUCUAAGUUGACUGCCGGUGACAAACCGGAGGAAGGUGGGGAUGACGUCAAAUCAUCAUGCCCCUUAUGAUUUGGGCUACACACGUGCUACAAUGGACAAUACAAAGGGCAGCGAAACCGCGAGGUCAAGCAAAUCCCAUAAAGUUGUUCUCAGUUCGGAUUGUAGUCUGCAACUCGACUACAUGAAGCUGGAAUCGCUAGUAAUCGUAGAUCAGCAUGCUACGGUGAAUACGUUCCCGGGUCU
RNAcentral lists this ribosomal RNA (1371 nucleotides) under uncultured bacterium. RNAcentral's name for it is "bacterial SSU rRNA". It matches the Rfam family "Bacterial small subunit ribosomal RNA", at positions 28 to 1381 of the family's 1533-position model. The record is from RNAcentral.